RNAcentral lists this ribosomal RNA (292 nucleotides) under uncultured bacterium. RNAcentral's name for it is "partial 16S ribosomal RNA". It matches the Rfam family "Bacterial small subunit ribosomal RNA", at positions 505 to 796 of the family's 1533-position model. The record is from RNAcentral.
GUGCCAGCAGCCGCGGUAAUACGAAUGGAGCGAGCGUUGUUCGGAAUCACUGGGCGUAAAGGGUGCGCAGGCGGUCAUGAAAGUUAGAAGUGAAAUCCCUGGGCUCAACCCAGGAAUUGCUUUUAAAACUCCAUGACUAGAGUACUGGAGAGGUUGGCGGAAUUCCGAGUGUAGCAGUGAAAUGCGUAGAUAUUCGGAGGAACACCGAUGGCGUAGGCAGCCAACUGGACAGUUACUGACGCUCAUGCACGAAAGCGUGGGGAUCAAACAGGAUUAGAAACCCCAGUAGUCC